UCUCUGGGGUUGGGGCCUGGAAUCUACAUGUUUUAAACAAAUGUCUCAGGUGAUUCUCUUGUGACCAGUCCAGUACUGUCUAAACAUUAGUAUGUAGGCAUUGUGGCUUGGCUCAGGUGGCCUCUGAGGGCUAUUCUACUUCAGAAGUUCUGCCUCUGUAAUUGAAAUCUGAUCCACCACACUACAAAGGGUUUUUCAAACUAUGGAUUAAAAACCCCAUAAACACUGGGGGGAAACAGACUACAAAGAGAAAAUGUAUUGUCUGGAGUAAGGGUAUUGUUCCGUGACAGUUCUUUCAGAGUUGAGGAUAUAUAGUAAGUGGCGAUGUAUAUUUUUUUUUUUUUUGAACUUGUGGACUGUGGUUAAACUUUGAAAGCCACUGCUGUAUAGAGAACACCCAGUCAAACCUUUGAUAUAGCAGGAAUGUGAAUUCCUGAGCCCCACACAUCAAGGCUCUGGAAGAGUUCAAGAAUCUGUGUGGGUAACAGGUGACCGGCCCUCAGACUACUUAAGAGAAACUACCAUGUUCUGUAAACCUACGCCUGUCCAUAGAACCCAACUCAUCCAGUGCUUUCCCAUGUGGCAGAGAGGGAGAUGGAGUAGUCCUAGUCUUAGGGGUGCAAGUCUUUUCUUUUUUUUUUUGGUGAUGGAUGUGAAGGGAUGAUUUGAAAAAGCAGUUAACAUCA
RNAcentral lists this long non-coding RNA (686 nucleotides) under Marmota monax (woodchuck). Lineage: Eukaryota; Metazoa; Chordata; Mammalia; Rodentia; Sciuridae. The record is from RNAcentral.